RNAcentral lists this ribosomal RNA (301 nucleotides) under uncultured bacterium. RNAcentral's name for it is "partial 16S ribosomal RNA". It matches the Rfam family "Bacterial small subunit ribosomal RNA", at positions 509 to 807 of the family's 1533-position model. The record is from RNAcentral.
CAGCAGCCGCGGGAACACAGAGGGUGCGAGCGUUAAUCGGAUUUACUGGGCGUAAAGCGUGCGUAGGCGGCUUUUUAAGUCGGAUGUGAAAUCCCUGAGCUUAACUUAGGAAUUGCAUUCGAUACUGGGAAGCUAGAGUAUGGGAGAGGAUGGUAGAAUUCCAGGUGUAGCGGUGAAAUGCGUAGAGAUCUGGAGGAAUACCGAUGGCGAAGGCAGCCAUCUGGCCUAAUACUGACGCUGAGGUACGAAAGCAUGGGGAGCAAACAGGAUUAGAUACCCGUGUAGUCCCUGUCUCUUAUAC